GGGGCCAGUGCUUUUUCGGGAGCACGGUUUUCUGGUAACACUUAACCCAACACACGUUGUCUACAUUUUAGAUUUUGCUUAGGCACCUCUAGUGCCUAUGGCUUUAACGCUACAAACAUUUUAUUUAAUAAACACAGUCACAAAACGAUACUAAAUAUCAAAACUUUCAACAACGGAUCUCUUGGUUCUCGCAACGAUGAAGAACGCAGCGAAUUGCGAUAAGUAUUGUGAAUUGCAGAUUUUCGUGAAUCAUCGAAUCUUUGAACGCACAUUGCGCCCUGUGGUAUUCCACAGGGCAUGCCUGUUUGAGCGUCAUUUCUCCUUCAAACUUCUGUUUGGACUUGGGUGUGGAUAUGUAUAUCCUCUGCCUGAAAUAAUGGGUGGGAGCAGUGUAACUUGCUUUUAGUGACACCAAUGAGUUAGGUUCUGCCAGUUCGUUGGAAAGCUAUAAUAGUGGGAAGCUGCGCCUAAUUACCAAAGCCCAAAACAUGACCUUAAAACUUGACCUCAAAUCAGGUAGGACUACCCGC
Molecule: ribosomal RNA, 530 nt
Filed under: Barnettozyma sp. EN14S14
Lineage: Eukaryota; Fungi; Ascomycota; Saccharomycetes; Phaffomycetales; Phaffomycetaceae
Also listed under: 1 other name
Description: eukaryotic LSU rRNA
Rfam family: 5.8S ribosomal RNA (bases 162-315)
Source: RNAcentral